GCCGACGUGGUGGAAUGGCAGACACGGAGCACUCAAAAUGCUUUGCCGCAAGGCGUGGGGGUUCGAAUCCCCCCGUCGGCAC
This 82-nucleotide transfer RNA is filed under the name Dermacoccus nishinomiyaensis. RNAcentral's name for it is "tRNA-Leu(caa)". It matches the Rfam family "tRNA". Rfam says of the family: Transfer RNA (tRNA) molecules are approximately 80 nucleotides in length. Their secondary structure includes four short double-helical elements and three loops (D, anti-codon, and T loops). The record is from RNAcentral. Lineage: Bacteria; Bacillati; Actinomycetota; Actinomycetes; Micrococcales; Dermacoccaceae.